This 321-nucleotide long non-coding RNA is filed under the name Jatropha curcas. RNAcentral describes it as "long non-coding RNA (JCUR_LNC003542)". The record is from RNAcentral. Lineage: Eukaryota; Viridiplantae; Streptophyta; Magnoliopsida; Malpighiales; Euphorbiaceae.
ACAAAGUUCUUUUCCGGUGUUCUGACUUCAAUUAGGCUUCUCCCUUUAUGCAAAGAAUUAAAGAUGAAAGUCACAAAAUUUCACUUUCAUGUACUUCAUCAAUGACACUCACAAUCCUUUGCAAAGUGCUUGCUUCAGUUUCCCAUGCAUCCAUUGGUUAACCAAACCCCAAGCUAGCUCAUGUAAACUAGAGUUGUACCAGGGCUCAAUAAAAAGCACCGCAAUAUGGGCUACAACAACUAAGCUCCUAUAAACUGAUGGGCCAUUCAGUCUUGCAGUCAUUUCAAGUUUCUGUCCAUAUGGUUGAAAAACAUCAAGGUG